UGGGUGCCAUAUGAGUGUGG
RNAcentral lists this unclassified non-coding RNA (20 nucleotides) under Chlamydomonas reinhardtii. RNAcentral's name for it is "small RNA Cre_3416". The record is from RNAcentral. Lineage: Eukaryota; Viridiplantae; Chlorophyta; Chlorophyceae; Chlamydomonadales; Chlamydomonadaceae.